Molecule: transfer RNA, 66 nt
Filed under: Lacanobia aliena
Lineage: Eukaryota; Metazoa; Arthropoda; Insecta; Lepidoptera; Noctuidae
Also listed under: 1 other name
Description: tRNA-Phe
Source: RNAcentral
AUUUAAAUAGCUUAUAAUAAGAGUGUAAUAUUGAAGAUAUUAAGGAGAUAUUUUUAUCUUUAAAUA